GACGAACGCUGGCGGCGUGCUUAACACAUGCAAGUCGAACGGAAAGGCCCUGCUUUUGUGGGGUGCUCGAGUGGCGAACGGGUGAGUAACACGUGAGUAACCUGCCCUUGACUUUGGGAUAACUUCAGGAAACUGGGGCUAAUACCGGAUAGGAGCUCCUGCUGCAUGGUGGGGGUUGGAAAGUUUCGGCGGUUGGGGAUGGACUCGCGGCUUAUCAGCUUGUUGGUGGGGUAGUGGCUUACCCAGGCUUUGACGGGUAGCCGGCCUGAGAGGGUGACCGGCCACAUUGGGACUGAGAUACGGCCCAGACUCCUACGGGAGGCAGCAGUGGCGAAUAUUGCACAAUGGGCGGAAGCCUGAUGCAGCAACGCCGCGUGCGGGAUGACGGCCUUCGGGUUGUAAACCGCUUUCGCCUGUGACGAAGCGUGAGUGACGGUAAUGGGUAAAGAAGCACCGGCUAACUACGUG
Molecule: ribosomal RNA, 468 nt
Filed under: uncultured bacterium
Lineage: Bacteria
Description: partial 16S ribosomal RNA
Rfam family: Bacterial small subunit ribosomal RNA
Source: RNAcentral